GAUGAAGAACGCAGCGAAAUGCGAUACUUGGUGUGAAUUGCAGAAUCCCGUGAACCAUCGAGUCUUUGAACGCAAGUUGCGCCCGAAGCCAUUAGGCCGAGGGCACGCCUGCCUGGGCGUCACACGUCGUUGCCCCCCCAUCUACUCCUUCGGGAUUGCGGGGGGCGGAUGAUGGCCUCCCGUGCGCCUCGUCGCGCGGUUGGCAUAAAUGCCAAGUCCUCGGCGACGCACGCCACGACAAUCGGUGGUUGCGAAACCUCGGUUGCCCGUCGUGUGCGGUCGUCGCGCAUCGAGGGCUCGAAAAAAUUGUCGGGCUCCGGCUCGGCUUUCAACGCGACCCCAGGUCAGGCGGGGUUACCCGCUGAAUUUAAGCAUACAAUAAGCGGAGGA
RNAcentral lists this unclassified non-coding RNA (390 nucleotides) under soil metagenome. RNAcentral's name for it is "partial contains 5.8S ribosomal RNA, internal transcribed spacer 2, and large subunit ribosomal RNA". The stretch from base 1 to 122 matches the Rfam family "5.8S ribosomal RNA", at positions 35 to 154 of the family's 154-position model. The record is from RNAcentral.